UAUCUCUCCGUACGGGGAAGGAUGAGAAGCUUCGACUAAGGUUCGAUUCGAGCGCAGCGAGAAAGCGUUGCCGCAGGCAACGACCCGAAGGGCG
RNAcentral lists this small RNA (94 nucleotides) under Salmonella enterica. RNAcentral describes it as "partial RtT sRNA". It matches the Rfam family "RtT RNA", at positions 1 to 93 of the family's 130-position model. Rfam says of the family: This family represents a bacterial cis-regulatory element known as RtT RNA. The exact function of RtT is unknown although it is thought that it may be involved in changing the cellular response in relation to amino acid starvation. The record is from RNAcentral. RNAcentral also lists the same sequence under 5 other names. Lineage: Bacteria; Pseudomonadati; Pseudomonadota; Gammaproteobacteria; Enterobacterales; Enterobacteriaceae.